GUCGAGGGGCAGCGUGGAGCAGCAAUGCUCUGACGGCGACCGGCGGAAGGGUGCGUAACACGUGAGCGACUUGCCCGUCACAGGGGGAUAACCGGCGGAAACGGCGACUAAUACCCCAUAUGCUGCGAUGCUGCAUGGCAUUGCAAUGAAAGAUUCAUCGGUGGCGGAUAGGCUCGCGGGACAUUAGCUAGACGGCGGGGCAACGGCCCACCGUGGCGACGAUGUCUAGGGGUUCUGGGAGGAAGACCCCCCACACUGGGACUGAGACACGGCCCAGACUCCUACGGGAGGCAGCAGUGAGGAAUAUUGGUCAAUGGGCGGAAGCCUGAACCAGCCAUGCCGCGUGAAGGACUAAGGCCCUACGGGUCGUAAACUUCUUUAG
This 382-nucleotide ribosomal RNA is filed under the name uncultured bacterium. Its description in RNAcentral is "bacterial SSU rRNA". It matches the Rfam family "Bacterial small subunit ribosomal RNA", at positions 61 to 438 of the family's 1533-position model. The record is from RNAcentral.